Molecule: ribosomal RNA, 484 nt
Filed under: uncultured bacterium
Lineage: Bacteria
Description: partial 16S ribosomal RNA
Rfam family: Bacterial small subunit ribosomal RNA
Source: RNAcentral
AUUGAACGCCGGCGGCAGGCCUAACACAUGCAAGUCGAGCGGAUGAAGGGAGCUUGCUCCUGGAUUCAGCGGCGGACGGGUGAGUAAUGCCUAGGAAUCUGCCUGGUAGUGGGGGAUAACGUCCGGAAACGGGCGCUAAUACCGCAUACGUCCUGAGGGAGAAAGUGGGGGAUCUUCGGACCUCACGCUAUCAGAUGAGCCUAGGUCGGAUUAGCUAGGUGGUGGGGUAAAGGCCUACCAAGGCGACGAUCCGUAACUGGUCUGAGAGGAUGAUCAGUCACACUGGAACUGAGACACGGUCCAGACUCCUACGGGAGGCAGCAGUGGGGAAUAUUGGACAAUGGGCGAAAGCCUGAUCCAGCCAUGCCGCGUGUGUGAAGAAGGUCUUCGGAUUGUAAAGCACUUUAAGUUGGGAGGAAGGGCAGUAAGUUAAUACCUUGCUGUUUUGACGUUACCAACAGAAUAAGCACCGGCUAACUUCGUG